UGGAGCAUUACGUGGUCGAGAACAGCA
Molecule: non-coding RNA, 27 nt
Filed under: Homo sapiens (human)
Lineage: Eukaryota; Metazoa; Chordata; Mammalia; Primates; Hominidae
Source: RNAcentral